GGGGCGGGACCAGUCUGGUGACUGGAAUGGUCUUCAAAACCAGCUGGGGUCCGUAUGGACCUCGGUAGGUUCGAUCCCUACCCGCUCCCGCCA
RNAcentral lists this transfer RNA (93 nucleotides) under Gemmatimonadota bacterium. RNAcentral's name for it is "Gemmatimonadetes bacterium tRNA-Sec". It matches the Rfam family "Selenocysteine transfer RNA". Lineage: Bacteria; Pseudomonadati; Gemmatimonadota. The record is from RNAcentral.